CCCCUGGCUGGCUCCCGCCUGGUCGGGUCAGGGCGUCGCAAUGCGGGAUGCUCCGCACGGGAUUCCGGGACCGUGUGGUCAAGACCAACUCCGGAUAGACGCAGGGAAACUCGUCGUCAGAGUUCCUGUUGUCGAAGCUCGCUGACGACUGCGCUCGGAGAUGCCAGUGCUGACGGCUUAGCGGACCGGGGUUCGACUCCCCGCACCUCCACAA
Molecule: transfer-messenger RNA, 214 nt
Filed under: Actinomycetota bacterium
Lineage: Bacteria; Bacillati; Actinomycetota
Description: partial transfer-messenger RNA
Rfam family: transfer-messenger RNA
About the family: Bacterial tmRNA, also known as 10Sa RNA or SsrA, is named for its dual tRNA and mRNA-like properties. Its role is to liberate the mRNA from a stalled ribosome.
Source: RNAcentral